CACCGUUGCUCAUCUCACCAUCGCACAUGACCACGGCCGCUCAUCUUUUACCAUCGCACAUCAUCACAUCGCCAUUGCCACUCACCAUUGUGUUGCCUCCCAUUGACAUUCAAGUUUUUCUUUCUCUCUGUCCAUCUCUCUUUUUGUCUUUGUCUUUCUCAUUUUUCCCAUUUCACUCUAGCUCUAGGGUUUUAUUUUAUUUUAUUAUUAUUUUUUUUUUGAUGUUGUAGGAUUUUGAUUUCUAUGAAAUGAGUAAAUGGGUUUUGAUUUGUGUUCUAAAUUUAAGAUUUUUUGAACUGAUUAUUGGUGUGGUAGAUGAGAUUCCUUUUGCUAAUUGCACCUGGGCCUCCCUCUGUCCUCUCUACUAUACACACGCAUGAGUUCUUCGGCCCAACCAACCUCCGAAGCUCUCAUCCACCAGUGUUGCUACUGCUCUCAAUCACCACUGUUUCCACCAUCAGCCACUAGCUUUAUCGCCCUCAACAAUUGAUGAAGGAGGGACUUUGCUUUAUGCUUGGAUGGAGAUUUGUAAUUUUCUUUCUCAUGGAAAUAGUUUGAGUCGGGCUAAUAGGAUGAUCAGGCUGGGCUUACCCAUGUGGGCUCUUACGGACUGGAUUCAUGGACGGGCUUGGAUUCCAAGCCAUUGUCUAAAAUCAUAAAUCAUCUGUUAUAGGUUGGGACGGAAUGAGUACUGAAGUAGGUUGGGACGAGCUAUGAGACGAAUGGACCUGAUUGGGUAAUAUAAGAUUUUUUAUUUGCAGAACAUUUGAUAACCCCUACUUAUAUGUUGUGUUAAAGUUUUAUCCUAUAUAUUAUUUUUUAAGUCACUUGUGUAGUCCAGACAUUCACUUAUCUAUGACCAAUUG
This is a long non-coding RNA of Camellia sinensis, 866 nucleotides long. RefSeq lists it as uncharacterized. The record is from RefSeq and is a predicted model, not a curated record. NCBI's taxonomy places the organism in Eukaryota, Viridiplantae, Streptophyta, Magnoliopsida, Ericales, Theaceae.